UUUACUCCUACGGGAGGCAGCAGUGGGGAAUAUUGCACAAUGGGCGCAAGCCUGAUGCAGCGACGCCGCGUGAGGGAUGACGGCCUUCGGGUUGUAAACCUCUUUCAGUAGGGAAGAAGCGAAAGUGACGGUACCUGCAGAAGAAGCGCCGGCUAACUACGUGCCAGCAGCCGCGGUAAUACGUAGGGCGCAAGCGUUAUCCGGAAUUAUUGGGCGUAAAGAGCUCGUAGGCGGUUUGUCGCGUCUGCCGUGAAAGUCCGGGGCUCAACUCCGGAUCUGCGGUGGGUACGGGCAGACUAGAGUGAUGUAGGGGAGACUGGAAUUCCUGGUGUAGCGGUGAAAUGCGCAGAUAUCAGGAGGAACACCGAUGGCGAAGGCAGGUCUCUGGGCAUUAACUGACGCUGAGGAGCGAAAGCAUGGGGAGCGAACAGGAUUAGAUACCCUGGUAGUCCAUGCCGUAAACGUUGGGCACUAGGUGUGGGGGACAUUCCACGUUUUCCGCGCCGUAGCUAACGCAUUAAGUGCCCCGCCUGGGGAGUACGGCCGCAAGGCUAAAACUCAAAGGAAUUGACGGGGGCCCGCACAAGCGGCGGAGCAUGCGGAUUAAUUCGAUGCAACGCGAAGAACCUUACCAAGGCUUGACAUGAACCGGAAAGACCCUGAAACCAGGGCCCCCCA
RNAcentral lists this ribosomal RNA (678 nucleotides) under Arthrobacter sp. RNAcentral's name for it is "bacterial SSU rRNA". It matches the Rfam family "Bacterial small subunit ribosomal RNA", at positions 332 to 1018 of the family's 1533-position model. Lineage: Bacteria; Bacillati; Actinomycetota; Actinomycetes; Micrococcales; Micrococcaceae. The record is from RNAcentral.